RNAcentral lists this ribosomal RNA (253 nucleotides) under uncultured bacterium. RNAcentral describes it as "partial 16S ribosomal RNA". It matches the Rfam family "Bacterial small subunit ribosomal RNA", at positions 524 to 776 of the family's 1533-position model. The record is from RNAcentral.
UACGUAGGGGGCUAGCGUUGUCCGGAAUCAUUGGGCGUAAAGAGCGUGUAGGCGGCCCGGUAAGUCCGCUGUGAAAGUCGGGGGCUCAACCCUCGGAUGCCGGUGGAUACUGUCGGGCUCGAGUACGGAAGAGGCGAGUGGAAUUCCUGGUGUAGCGGUGAAAUGCGCAGAUAUCAGGAGGAACACCUAUUGCGAAGGCAGCUCGCUGGGACGUUACUGACGCUGAGACGCGAAAGCGUGGGGAGCGAACAGG